CCAGCUCCAAUAGCGUAUAUUUAAGUUGUUGCAGUUAAAAAGCUCGUAGUUGGAUUUCGGGUGGGUUCCAGCGGUCCGCCUAUGGUGAGUACUGCUGUGGCCUUCCUUUCUGUCGGGGACGGGCUCCUGGGCUUCACUGUCCGGGACUCGGAUUCGACGAUGAUACUUUGAGUAAAUUAGAGUGUUCAAAGCAAGCCUACGCUCUGAAUACUUUAGCAUGGAAUAUCGCGAUAGGACUCUGGCCUAUCUCGUUGGUCUGUAGGACCGGAGUAAUGAUUAAGAGGGACAGUCGGGGGCAUUCGUAUUUCAUUGUCAGAGGUGAAAUUCUUGGAUUUAUGAAAGACGAACUACUGCGAAAGCAUUUGCCAAGGAUGUUUUCAUUAAUCAAGAACGAAAGUUGGGGGCUCGAAGACGAUUAGAUACCGUCGUAGUCUCAACCAUAAACGAUGCCGACUAGGGAUUGGAGGAUGUUCUUUUGAUGACUUCUCCAGCACCUUAUGAGAAAUCAAAGUUUUUGGGUUCCGGGGGGAGUAUGGUCGCAAGGCUGAAACUUAAAGGAAUUGACGGAAGGGCACCACCAGGCGUGGAGCCUGCGGCUUAAUUCGACUCAAC
RNAcentral lists this ribosomal RNA (612 nucleotides) under uncultured alga. RNAcentral describes it as "SSU rRNA". It matches the Rfam family "Eukaryotic small subunit ribosomal RNA", at positions 585 to 1204 of the family's 1831-position model. The record is from RNAcentral.